GCCUACGGGGGGCAGCAGUGAGGAAUAUUGGUCAAUGGGCGGGAGCCUGAACCAGCCAAGUCGCGUGAGGGAAGACGGUCCUAUGGAUUGUAAACCUCUUUAGGCGGGGAGCAAUGCCGGGCACGCGUGCCCGGAGGGAGAGUACCCGCAGAAUAAGCAUCGGCUAACUCCGUGCCAGCAGCCGCGGUAAUACGGAGGAUGCGAGCGUUAUCCGGAUUUAUUGGGUUUAAAGGGUGCGUAGGCGGAUUUUUAUGUCAGCGGUAAAAUGUCCGGGCUCAACCCGUGCCGGCCGUUGAAACUGGGGU
This 305-nucleotide ribosomal RNA is filed under the name uncultured bacterium. RNAcentral describes it as "bacterial SSU rRNA". It matches the Rfam family "Bacterial small subunit ribosomal RNA", at positions 337 to 639 of the family's 1533-position model. The record is from RNAcentral.